RNAcentral lists this small nucleolar RNA (61 nucleotides) under Paramormyrops kingsleyae. Its description in RNAcentral is "Small nucleolar RNA Z40 (ENSPKIG00000012821.1)". Lineage: Eukaryota; Metazoa; Chordata; Actinopteri; Osteoglossiformes; Mormyridae. The record is from RNAcentral.
GUAAUGAUGAUUGCCAAUGUUCAACUGCUCUGAAAUCUGGAUGAAUUAAUUCUCUCUGAAC